Molecule: RNA transcript, 4056 nt
Organism: Zingiber officinale
Lineage: Eukaryota; Viridiplantae; Streptophyta; Magnoliopsida; Zingiberales; Zingiberaceae
Gene name: probable WRKY transcription factor 4
Exons: 7
Source: RefSeq, a predicted model, not a curated record
GCACCGUCAUCCUAAGAAACCAGGCUCGGAAUUGGGAAUCCAGAUGUCGCCCUUUUCAAUCGCUUCUCCUCGCUUUGCGUUCAUUUUUGUUUUGGUUUGGUUUCAUCAAUGCAUCAUGUCGGCUUUGUUGUUGUUCUCUCGAUCGGCAUCCUAUCAUCUUGAAGAUUCAUCGAGGAACACCAUUUCACAUCCAAGAAUGGAUUAUCGUGAUGCCUUGGCAAUUAAUUAUCCGUUAUUUCAAUCAAAUUGUUCCGAAAAGCGAAGGUUUGAGAUGUUCUUGCGACUUAGAAACGUCUGCGGAGGGAAGAGUUGCUGGAUGUCGACUGAAGAUGUUGUCUUUAAAUUGGAACUCGGAUUCCUGCCACUUCCUGGCUUAUGCUCCAAUUCCUCUUGCGUGAGGAAGUGAAGAAUGUUUCUGUCAGUUUUGUCAUGGACCUCUGUGGAUGGAUUUUGCACAAAAUUGAUCAUUCUACAGCCACAGAUACGCAUUCUCUCACACCACUUGUUUUUGUUUUUCUUGUUCCUUAUUGACAUUGUUGUAAAGAUCCAGUUCAGUGCAGCUUUUGUAGAUUUAGCAAUGGUUGGUUUUCUUGUUAUCUUAGUUCUGAACUGAAUAUAUCAUGUUUAUAACUAACAAUCUCUCUGAUACAUAUCUCAGUGAAUUUUUAUCCACUAACAUUGUUUUCAAAAUAAGAGUUAAAAAGCCAAAUGUUUUGUGUCACUUGAUUUGGGGCAACAUGUGAUCCAUUUUGAUGCAACUUGCAACUUAAUUCAUCAUAUUUUCUGUCUCUUGUUAAUUAAAAGUAUAUAUGCAGCCUUUUUUCCCCAGAAUAUUUGGGUAAGCUAAUUGAAUGAGAGAGAUUGCAUCUGAGUUGAAGUGUUACAUAUUCAGCUAUGUUCUGAUAAACUUCUAUAUGCUGUUGGAUAUUUCGCUGGUAUACAUUAAAUUCUGAAAUAUGUGGUGGAAGUCACAACUUCCAGGACUCAUUGAAAACUGUUACUGUCAAAUAUCACUUUCCUAACUAAUAUCAUUAAGAUAUGGCAAUAUCAUGAUCACUUCAUUGGUAAGAGGCUUGAAGAUUUUCUAUCCACAUAUCUGAAGAUACACAUUGAUAAUUUCUAACCUAAGUAUGAUGCUUGUACAUGAUAACUGAUAAGAACUCCUCAUUGUAUAUCCCUUCAGUUAAAUCCACCAAUUUGUGCACUAACAUGAAUAGAACGCAAGAGCUGUGACUAUGAUACCUGAAACAUCCAACUUACAACACUCUUUUAUUUGCUCUUGUAUUAUGAUACCUGGAGCUUCAAAACUAACUGAGCAAAUAUAAAUAUUUCCCUAUGUUUACUGAUGUGAUUCUUAGCCUGUUCAAUGUGUUCAAGUUCCUAAAACUUUGUCAGUAAUAUUUCCAACUACUUGUUAGACAAAUUUACUGCACAUCUUGUGGUCUAAAAUCCAGGACAUAGAAAGGUCGGCGCAUCUUAAAUAGAAAAAAAUGGUGUGUGUUGCUGGACUGUCAUCGAUUGGUAUGACACCCAUGUGUAUGGAAGUCGACUUGGUGCAAAUUAUUGUGGCCUUCUUUUCUGAUAUCAUCAAUCAUAGAAAAGUGUCCAAACUGUUCACCGUGCAGUAAAUCUGAAAACUACUACAGGAACGAUUGCUUGGCAGAGCACUUUAGCAUCCAAUGAUAUAAGCUCUUCUGCUAGCUCCUGUAAUACUUAUUCUCUGCCCUGUUUAUGAAACACAGCAAAGUUGCAACAACACAGCUUGCGCACUUAUUUUUUUUUGUCCUACUCUUAGAUUUGCUUCGUGCUACUGAUGUUUUCCAGAAUUAUUUUAAUAAAAAAGCUUAAUUUUUAGUCGCUAUAGCAGAUAGAUGUCUCUAUAUUUGCGUAUGGAGUAUGGGAGUAUGGGAGUAUUAAAAAGAUUUGAAAUUUACCUUGUAUUGCAUGAUAAAGACUGCAAAGAAGGCGAUGGUAAGCCAGUCAUUGUACACGGCAGUUCAGCGGCAACUGGAGAGACGAGCCAUGAACGAUGCUGCGGAAGUCAACUUUCUCAUUUACUCCGUUGGCACGAUAAUUUGGUGGGAGUUUAUCUAUACAUUUUUAAAAAAUAAAUUAUUCGCCAUUUAUAUUUAAUUCUGUGAGUGCGAGUGGGUGUGUUGUUGAAGAAGUUGUUGUGUGUGGAAGAAGAGAGAGAGAGAGAGCGUUUUGGUACGAAUCAGAUGGCGGAAAAUGGGGGAGGCGGUGGCGGAGAUGGCGUCGGAGAAGAAACGGCGGCUGCCCUAAGGACAGGGGCGGCGCCGCGGCCCACCAUAGCCCUCCCUCCCCGUUCCUCCUUCGAGAGCCUCUUCCGCGGGGGUGCGUCGGAGGUUAGCCCCGGGCCGCUGACGCUGGUGUCGAGCUUCUUCGCCGAGGACGCCGACUCGGAGUGCCGCUCCUUCACUCAGCUGCUUGUCGGCGCGAUUAAUUCCCCGGUGGCGAGGAGGGCGGGAGGAGCCGCGAAGGAGCAGGGGAAGGAGGCGGAGAAACUCUCGGACGGUGGCGAGGAGGAUGAGGGAGGUGGUGGCUUGAUCCGGUCAGGGCACAAUCGACCCCCGAGCCUGGAAAUUAGCCGUCCCCAGAUUUUCACUGUGCCGCCUGGGUUGAGUCCUGCCGGCUUGCUCGAUUCUCCUGCUUUCUUUUCUUCUGCCCUGGGUAAUUUUGCAAUGUCUCACCAAGAGGCUCUUGCUCAAGUCACUGCCCAGGCUGCACAUUCUCCAUUUACCAUGCUAACUAAAGCAGAAAUACCUUCUCCUUUCUCAACAGAACUGACAAAUUUCUCAUCACAACUAAUCCAGGAGAGUCCUAAGCCAACACAUUCUACUACAAAAUCUGUGGAAGGCUCAGAAACCUUUAAUAAAAAAUCUCAACUUAAUACAACAGUUGUUGACAAACCUUCUCAUGAUGGUUACAAUUGGCGGAAGUAUGGACAGAAGAUUGUAAAAGGGAGUGAAUAUCCUAGGAGCUAUUAUAAAUGCACCCAUCCAAAAUGUCCAGUUAAGAAAAAGUUAGAGCGCUCAGUAGAUGGUCAAGUUACUGAAAUAAUAUAUAAGGGUCGACAUAAUCAUGAAUGCCCUGAACCAAAUAAGCGAACCAAGGAAGGUAAUCCUAGUAGAUUGAAUGGGACUAAUGAACACCUUGACAAUCUGGAACCAGGUUCUCUCGGUGGUCAUGGUAAUUUCAGCAAACCAAACAACGAAACUGCUGCUCUGUUUUCCAAUACAGAUCAAGAAUCAGGCUAUGGCUCACCAGAUCAAUUAUCUGGAUCUAGUGAUGUUGAAGAAGUUAUUGAAAGUAGGCCGGAUGAGGGAGAUGAGGAUGAGUGUGAUCCCAAAAGAAGGAAGAUGGCAGCAUCGUCUCAAAAGACUUCAAAUGAACCUAGGAUCAUUGUCCAGACAAGAAGUGAGGUUGAUCUUCUUGAUGAUGGCUACAGAUGGCGCAAAUAUGGGCAAAAAGUAGUAAAAGGAAAUCCUAAUCCAAGGAGCUACUACAAAUGCACUUAUGCUGGGUGCAGUGUGAGGAAACACAUUGAGAGAUCUCCAACAGACCCGAAGGCUGUGAUUACAUCUUACGAGGGGAAACACAACCACGACAUCCCAGCUGCAAGACAUAGUAAGCCAUAAACUGACUGCAAAAAACUGCUUUGCGCCAUACUUCUCAAAUCAUCACGGAGCGAAGCUCAUGCCUCAUGGAGCAUGUGCGGAUUUCUUGAAGGCACAGAGGCUUAAAAAGAAAGUUCAACAAAUAUGCAGUGAAGAGAAGAUUAUCCUAAAUAUGCAACGUCGCCCUUGUUCUUUGUUUGUAGUUGUGUGCGAUUAAGGACCUGGGAAUUUCGUAUCGAUUAUGGAUGGACCUUUCGUAUUCUAUCACCCAACAAAUAUGAGAGUUUAUAGUUGUGCCAAGAGAUCGACCAUGGCGUCGCGUGGCUUGCACAGGGCCAGCAACGGAGUGGCCAAUGGUACGGUAAAACCCGGCUCUUCUGUCAGAUCCACCUCUUCCUCCCCGACCCUCUUCCACUCG